RNAcentral lists this ribosomal RNA (257 nucleotides) under uncultured bacterium. RNAcentral describes it as "partial 16S ribosomal RNA". It matches the Rfam family "Bacterial small subunit ribosomal RNA", at positions 524 to 776 of the family's 1533-position model. The record is from RNAcentral.
UACGGAGGGUGCGAGCGUUGUCCGGAAUCACUGGGCGUAAAGGGCGCGUAGGCGGCCUGAUAAGUAGGGGGUGAAAUCCUGCGGCUUAACCGCAGGGCUGCCUUCUAAACUGUCGGGCUCGAGCACAGUAGGAGGCAGGGUGGAAUUCCCGGUGUAGCGGGUGGAAUGCGUAGAGAUCGGGAAGAACAUCAGUGGCGAAGGCGGCCCUGCUGGGCUGUUGCUGACGCUGAGGCGCGACAGCGUGGGGAGCAAACAGG